AGGCCGAUAUUAGUCUAA
This 18-nucleotide microRNA is filed under the name Tribolium castaneum (red flour beetle). RNAcentral describes it as "tca-miR-3850-5p". Lineage: Eukaryota; Metazoa; Arthropoda; Insecta; Coleoptera; Tenebrionidae. The record is from miRBase by way of RNAcentral.